RNAcentral lists this ribosomal RNA (497 nucleotides) under uncultured bacterium. Its description in RNAcentral is "partial 16S ribosomal RNA". It matches the Rfam family "Bacterial small subunit ribosomal RNA", at positions 28 to 507 of the family's 1533-position model. The record is from RNAcentral.
GAUGAACGCUGGCGGCGUGCCUAAUACAUGCAAGUCGAGCGAACGGACGAUAAGCUUGCUUCUCUGAUGUUAGCGGCGGACGGGUGAGUAACACGUGGAUAACCUACCUAUAAGACUGGGAUAACUUCGGGAAACCGGAGCUAAUACCGGAUAAUAUUUUGAACCGCAUGGUUCAAAAGUGAAAGACGGUCUUGCUGUCACUUAUAGAUGGAUCCGCGCUGCAUUAGCUAGUUGGUAAGGUAACGGCUUACCAAGGCAACGAUGCAUAGCCGACCUGAGAGGGUGAUCGGCCACACUGGAACUGAGACACGGUCCAGACUCCUACGGGAGGCAGUAGUAGGGAAUCUUCCGCAAUGGGCGAAAGCCUGACGGAGCAACGCCGCGUGAGUGAUGAAGGUCUUCGGAUCGUAAAACUCUGUUAUUAGGGAAGAACAUACGUGUAAGUAACUGUGCACAUCUUGACGGUACCUAAUCAGAAAGCCACGGCUAACUACGUG